GAAUGGCUCGGUGAGGCCUUCGGACUGGCCCAGGGAGGUCGGCAACGACCACCCAGGGCCGGAAAGUUGGUCAAACCCGGUCAUUUAGAGGAAGUAAAAGUCGUAACAAGGUCUCCGUAGGUGAACCUGCGGAGGGAUCAUUA
This 143-nucleotide ribosomal RNA is filed under the name Cladosporium longicatenatum. RNAcentral describes it as "partial 18S ribosomal RNA". It matches the Rfam family "Eukaryotic small subunit ribosomal RNA", at positions 1691 to 1831 of the family's 1831-position model. The record is from RNAcentral. Lineage: Eukaryota; Fungi; Ascomycota; Dothideomycetes; Cladosporiales; Cladosporiaceae.